GGGAGGACUAUGAUGUGUUUUACAGCUUUGGGAUUUCUUCUUAACCUAUCUAGAGGCUGAAACCCAAGCAGAUGGUAAUGAAAAUACAAAACAAGCCUUUGGAGGACAAAUCAUUGUUUCACCCGAGGCUCUCUGCCUUUACCCUGAGGUUGGAAUAAGCUUCCUGGUUUCUUCUUUGCCUAUAACCAACAAAAGACAAGCAGUAUCUUAAAAUCUAACUGGGAGACUGUUCCAUAGGCUGCUUCUGGGCCCCCACCUCAAUUGACUCCUCUUACUAGUCCAUCAUCUUCACAUGGAAUGAUAUGUAACUGAUAAAUUAUGAAAAAAAAGGAACCUGAUGGUUUUAUGAAAUGUGAGAUGGCCUCAAGGCAACCCGAGAGACUCAGUCUAAUUCUAGCAGAGACUUGCACUCUGUCUGGCCUGCUUUGUGCAAGUUAUAUUGAUAUAAUAAGACUCCGGAGAAUUUGCUUGACUUCUAAUAUUAUUCACCAGGGUUGCCUGACGUGGAAAACUAUUGAUCCUCCAGGACUGAUAGCAUUUCUUCCAGAGGACGUGGUAACCUGGCGUUGUGAGGGUGAAAGGAGAUCUCACAGAAAAGCAAAGCCUUUGUACAAAUGCAAGGGUAAAAACUGUUUCUGUGUUUGUAUCCUCAGCAUUCAGAAUAGUUCAGUGCACAUAAUGGAUUCUUGUUAAAUGUUUGCUGAAUUACUAUUACAUUGGACCUACACUUUAAUCCACCUCCUAAAGAGAAGUGAUGGACUUCGGAUACAAAAUGAGACAUGCAUUUUUGGACACCACCAAGGAGGGAAUUUCAGGAGAAAGAAAUGGCAAAGCACUGCUGUAUCUUUGCCAAGAAACUCCAAAUGGGUUCCCAAAGAGUCAGGCUUGACAAAACAACUGAACAACAACAAGGAGGAAAUUUACUUUGCUUGACUAGACAUAUUUGUUGUAAGGGUUUUUCUUUUUUCUUCCUCCCUCCCUCCCUCCUUUACUUCUUCCCUCCCUCCCUUCCUUUCUUCCUUCUUUCUUUACUGCUUCCCUCUCUGUUGCUGUCUUCUUUUUUUCUCUUUCUCUUUCUUUUCCUUCUUUCCCUUUUAAUUGUGGGAAAGAAUAAAUACCUGU
RNAcentral lists this long non-coding RNA (1122 nucleotides) under Vombatus ursinus (common wombat). RNAcentral describes it as "lncRNA (ENSVURG00010018445.1)". The record is from RNAcentral. Lineage: Eukaryota; Metazoa; Chordata; Mammalia; Diprotodontia; Vombatidae.